This is a long non-coding RNA of Bufo bufo (common toad), 1938 nucleotides long. RefSeq lists it as uncharacterized. The record is from RefSeq and is a predicted model, not a curated record. Lineage: Eukaryota; Metazoa; Chordata; Amphibia; Anura; Bufonidae. The transcript is spliced from 3 exons.
UGUCACAAGGAUCCCUCCUCUUUUACUCUUUAACCCCAUCCUCGCUAUAUGAAGCAGAACUUAACCUGUCCCUGCUGGGGGGUCUGGAAUGUUCAGAGAGGAAUGAGAGGGGUUUGGUUGAGGGAGGUGGAAAGAGGAAGAGACAGAGCAGAGGCCGAGACUGCCGGGGGUGGAGGCUGCGAAUACCACAGGAAAAGUGGAGGAGCAAGGGCAGGAAUUGGGCAGCACCCUCUGAGCACACGCAGAUCUGAAUCUAAUCCCGGGGUCUAUGGGACAAGCUCACAAUGAGGACCGUGCAGGUGAUUCAGGAGGAGCUCCACGAUGUGACAGUUUAGCCCUUCCCUCCAGAUCUCUGUGACCCCCCAUCAUGUCCGGUCCUCACCUCUUCUGGCUGGUUUUAUUGGGGGUCUUGACAUGGAUUUCCGCAGAGGACCCCUGUAGAUGCAUCUUCCUGGAGCAGGAGGCGGACUGGUCGCUGCUGACGUCUGAUCACUGCUGUGUGAACCUCACUCUUUCUGUAAACACCUUGGACUGGAACCUCUUUACCCCCCUCCACAGCCUCCGGGUCUUGGAUCUCUCCAACUCUGGAAUUGAGGAGCUCACAGAGUCCGAGGGGGGGAGAAACCAGACACUCAUUGAGAUCUUGUACAUGGACCACAAUCACCUGAUGAGAGCUUCCGGAGGGUUUCUUGAGCAAUGCCCCCAACUUGAGGAUUCUUCACCUUGAGUUCAAUGAUCUGCGUCACUUCCUCCAAACUUCUUACAAGUGUCCGUCCUGAUCCAGGAGCUGCACCUGAGCUACAACAACCUGCACUCCUUCCCCGCCAGUCUCCUCAGACCUUCUCUCACCACUUUUGGCUUCCUCAACAACAGUCUGGACUGCUCAUGUGCCUCUAUGACCAACUGGAACCCAACUUCCUGGCCAAUGGCACCAGACUUCUGCUGGAUGAUGUUGUCUGUGCUUUUCCAAAGGAUGCCAAUGGGCAGAGGAUCCUGGACGUCCCGAGAAGCUCCGUCUGCCGUUCCCACGGCCUGACUGUGGCCUUGAUCUGCAUCCCAUUGGUGGCGCUGGUUCUGCUCAUGUGCUGGUAUGUACUGCCUGCCGACGACAGAAAGGUGCAUACGCCAACACAAGGCGCGAGUGCAGCCUGGUCACUGUGGAUCGCAACGGAGCUGGGAAUAGGGGAGAAUAUCAUCACUAUGAACCCCGGCACAACUUCCAAAAAGAGCGCAAGGAACAAGAAAUUCAGCAGUUCAAGGACCCCAUUCUCCUCCGACCAUCUGCUGCCUCCUGGGAAGCAACCGAGACCUGUACGAGGAGGUGGAGAUCAAAACUGGGCACCUCUGCAGACUCCCUGGUGGAAGGCGAUGGACGAGAGGGUCUGGAGGGUGCAGGGCUGAUGUUGGCAUGUAGCAGAGGAAGAAGAGGAUGAAGAAGAGAAGAGCUGGGGCCCGAGGAACCAGAAGUGGAAAACUGUCAGCGUGGACAGAGGUCAUGAAGGAACUCAAGUGACCGAGAGAAACUUUACUGAACCAGACUACAGACUAUUACAGUCUGGUGCCAGAGAUUGAGUUAGAAGACUCUGACCAUUGUGAGUAUGAGAGCGUCGACCUCACCUGAGCAAGUAUGAGAGCGUCGACCUCAUGAGAGCGUCAACCUCACCUCAAUGAGUAGGAGAGCAUCAAACUGUCCAAGAGUGAAUAUGAGAGCAUCAACCUCAUCUCAGUGACCUUCAGGCUUGAAAACCAAUGGACUCAAUUAUUAUGUAAGGACUAAUGACUGCGGCAACCAGAACAGGACUAAGGAUGGUCAGACAGUGCUGAACCUGGACUGAAUCUAUUAUAAUACACUGCCCCGAGCCUAUAAUGCACUGACCGGAGCCUAUAAUGCACUGAUCGGAGUCUAUAAUACACUGAAUAAAGUCUAUACUACACUGA